This is a long non-coding RNA of Manis pentadactyla (Chinese pangolin), 318 nucleotides long. RefSeq lists it as uncharacterized. The record is from RefSeq and is a predicted model, not a curated record. The transcript has 3 exons. Lineage: Eukaryota; Metazoa; Chordata; Mammalia; Pholidota; Manidae.
UUUGAGCUGCUAGCUGGAGGCAGGCCGGGUGCCGAGUACCAUUUCGCUUGGAUUCGGUUGUUUUUCAUUAUUGCACCUUCAACAGACAAGAUUCCUCUACUAGGGGAAUUGUUUAGGUUUCACAAUCAAAAGUAAUUUUGAAGUCAUGGGGUAAUCGAACUGAAUUGAAAAGUGAAAUGUUGGAUUGUUUCUGACUGACUUCCUGCUUGGUUCACGUCUUUCUGUCGGAGUGCAACAAGCCGAUGAUGUAUUGCUGCAUGCAGACGUCCUGUAUCUUUGGCACUGGCCUGAAUGAGGAAAAUUAAGUUAAGAAUAUAA